Molecule: ribosomal RNA, 433 nt
Filed under: uncultured bacterium
Lineage: Bacteria
Description: partial 16S ribosomal RNA
Rfam family: Bacterial small subunit ribosomal RNA
Source: RNAcentral
AACGAACGCUGGCGGCAUGCCUAACACAUGCAAGUCGAACGAGACCUUCGGGUCUAGUGGCGCACGGGUGCGUAACGCGUGGGAAUCUGCCCUUGGGUUCGGAAUAACAGUGAGAAAUUACUGCUAAUACCGGAUGAUGUCUUCGGACCAAAGAUUUAUCGCCCAGGGAUGAGCCCGCGUAGGAUUAGCUAGUUGGUGGGGUAAUGGCCUACCAAGGCGACGAUCCUUAGCUGGUCUGAGAGGAUGAGCAGCCACACUGGGACUGGGACACGGCCCAGACUCCUACGGGAGGCAGCAGUGGGGAAUAUUGGAAAAUGGGGUCAAGCCUGAUCCAGCAAUGCCGCGUGAGUGAUGAAGGCCUUAGGGUUGUAAAGCUCUUUUACCCGGGAUGAUAAUGACAGUACCGGGAGAAUAAGCUCCGGCUAACUCCGUG